Molecule: long non-coding RNA, 1301 nt
Organism: Labrus mixtus (cuckoo wrasse)
Lineage: Eukaryota; Metazoa; Chordata; Actinopteri; Labriformes; Labridae
Exons: 2
Source: RefSeq, a predicted model, not a curated record
UUAACAAUGUUUACAACUUUUGACAACACACAAGAAAUCUACUUGCCAUUCAGUAAACGGCUCAGGGAAAAUCAUUAAUGCAAAAAAGCAGUUUCAGCAGUUUAAUCAAGUGCGUGAUGCAUAAAAUAAAACUGGAAGCCCUGGUAUGGCUGUGGUUUGACGAGCUUGACCGAAUACUGGGGACAAAAUCUGAUCUUGAGCCAGUGGAUGUUGUGGAGUCGCAUGAGACUGAUGCCAACUAACCUAACACGCCUGACCUGGCUUCUGACACGGAGGGAGUUGGAGAUUUAAGCAGUGCAUGCAUAAUACUGAGGACAGAAACAACUUUGCUGUUGCAGACUGAUUAAUCCUCGGGCCACUGAGACCAGAAGCAGUGAAGCGUGCACCCGAGAUGGGAGCCUGCCCAUUCCUGGAGCACAAGCCUGAAAAAGAAAAGUGAAAUCCUGCUGACUUGAUGAUGAAUUCCAUGCAUAAAUAAAUGCCAGUAAACAUGCUGGAGAAAAUGCAUGGAGUCAAAAAGAUACAGUUAGCACAAGGGGCUGCAGCAUUUGAAAAGAUACUUCAGGCAGGAGGCUGAGGAGCGAAGAUUUCAGUCUAUGAAAGCACAGCAACGGGCCACCAAGCAGGUGGUUCUGCAAAUAAUGGACACUUUGCAAGUGCUUUGCAUCCUGGCCAAGCCCAUUCCUCACCAUUUACCACGCUGGAACACAACACCACCAUCGGACCCACCCUUAGUUCCUGGUCCUUGCCACAGCUGCAUCAGCCAACACAUAAAAUGAUGUCCUGCAACCUUUCAUCCCUCCUCAUCAUCGUUCUCAAUCUCCACCCUCUCGAAAUAAACACCACAGCACAUCAUCCAUUCUACAUGUUAACAGUAGCCAUGAUUACCACAAGUUGGAGGUUGUUACACACUAGCACUUUAAUUAAGGAAAUGCUCUUGUUAGUUUACCUUUUAAUGUGCACAUUUACCUUAUUUGAACGCCUGCUUAGAAUUGUGUUUUUUGUUCAGUGUUAUCAAGAUUGUUUUGACAUGUUUUUCCAGAAAAGUUGUUAUUUCAGACAAACAGGACACAAGAAAGAUCAGUGGUGCCAGGUUUUAACAGGCAUCAGCAUAACAUGAAAGUCUAUAGGCCAUUCCUACACAGAGUCGUAAACUGAUUUUAACAAGGGAAGAGAGAUUUUCACAUGAUUGUAAGUGUCAACUAGACUGUACCUGCUUCUUUGUUCUACUGCUAACAAUAUAGUUACCCUGCCCCUUUUCUCUUAACUGUGCAUUCAGCCAUUAAAAGAGAAAACAAUUA